RNAcentral lists this microRNA (20 nucleotides) under Drosophila ananassae. Its description in RNAcentral is "miR-13a-RA". Lineage: Eukaryota; Metazoa; Arthropoda; Insecta; Diptera; Drosophilidae. RNAcentral also lists the same sequence under 4 other names. The record is from RNAcentral.
UAUCACAGCCAUUUUGAUGA